GGGCCCGCACAAGCGGUGGAGUAUGUGGUUUAAUUCGAUGCAACGCGAAGAACCUUACCAGGGUUUGACAUCCUGCGAAUCUCUUGGAAACAGGAGAGUGCCUUCGGGAACGCAGUGACAGGUGGUGCAUGGCUGUCGUCAGCUCGUGUCGUGAGAUGUUGGGUUAAGUCCCGCAACGAGCGCAACCCACGUCUUUAGUUGCCAGCAUUAAGUUGGGCACUCUAGCGAGACCGCCGGUGAUAAACCGGAGGAAGGUGUGGAUGACGUCAAGUCAUCAUGCCCCUUACAUCCUGGGCUACACACGUACUACAAUGCUACGGACAAAGGGCAGCAAACUCGCGAGAGCUAGCAAAUCCCAUAAACCGUGGCUCAGUUCAGAUCGUAGGCUGCAACUCGCCUACGUG
RNAcentral lists this ribosomal RNA (404 nucleotides) under uncultured bacterium. RNAcentral's name for it is "bacterial SSU rRNA". It matches the Rfam family "Bacterial small subunit ribosomal RNA", at positions 917 to 1322 of the family's 1533-position model. The record is from RNAcentral.